CCCAGGUGUCUCAGGCUCGGGGCCUAGGGGAGCCACCACGCCUCUGGCGGGGCGUUCCUUGGGUUCAUCGUGGGUGGGAGUGAAGUGACCGUCAUUGACCAGUAACUAAACCUAUUCUAGCAACCUCCAGAUAUUAACUAAAACUGCACAAAAGAUCAGAGAAUUUCUCUUUGAAGGCUGGAAGACAGAAAAUGUAUGUCUUCUGCUGCAGGAACAGAGAGAAGUCACCUUAAAUCAUCGCAGCGCCCGUUGGACUCUGUUCUGCAGUCCUCCAGAAGAGGCUCCCGACCUCCCCCUACAACACCCCCCCAGAGAUCCAGGGCUCCCGAUGAUUUCCAGUUCACAGGUGGGGCCAGAGCCCUCACGGAGCUGGGGCUCCAGGCCGGCAACCCCCCGCCUCCCUGCGCCCCCGAGCCCCCCAGGCCGCUCGGGCACCUGCUGGGGGCAAAGGUCCCAGCUCUGGAGGCGGCAGGCCGGCCUGGCACCCACCGCACCCAAGCUGCCCAUCCCACUCUGGGCCCCUCAGGACCCCCCAGCUUGGAGCCACCUCCCUCCCGCCGAAGCCCCCCCAGACAGAAGGGGAGCCGACUACUCCAGAGGCCGAUGCUGAGCCCAGGGCUCCACCUUUUCUGCAGUGGGUCCGGCCCUCAUCGUGAAUUCACCUGAUGUAUCUUCAUCCUUGAGAGGGGACAGCAAGGGUCUGGGGCACAAUUAGGAUGCUCUUCCUCAUGGUGGGAGGACCGGGGAAUGAAAUGCUGUCAUCAUUCCUGCACAAGUGGGCACCACCCUCUUGAGAACAGGGGGGUCCCGCAAACCCAGGGCAGGCCGCAAAGACCGACGGAUGGAUGAUGUGAGCUGCUAGGGACGGGGCCUCUUCAAGGGACCUGAUUACGAGAGUCCUAAUUAAAAAAAUCGUUAAAACUCAGAAUUUUCCUUUAAAAAAAAGAUAUUUAUUUAUUUAUUUAUUUAUUUAUUUAUUUAUUUAUUUAUUUAUGAGAGACACACAGAGAGAAGCAGAGACGCAGGCAGAGGGAGAAGCAGGCUCCACACAAGGAGUCCAACGUGGGACUCGAUCCCAGGACCUGGGAUCACGCCCUGAGCCGAAGGCAAAUGCUCAACCACUGAGCCACCACCCAGGCAUCCCUAAAAUUUCCCAUUUUUAAGAUGAUUUUUUAAAAAAUUUUUUUAAAUGAUUUUAUUUUCUUCCCUGUCCUUAGCUACGCACAUGCUCAUCUCAUGAUUAUCAACAAGCACCAGAGAUCUUUUUCUUGUUUCUGACCCAUAGAGCUUAGUUUCCUAUGGUGCAGUGACAAGGAAAUUGGGGAUUUCUAUAUACUUACAUACAUAUUUAGAUAUUCAAUGCCUGGGUCUUUACGACCUCAGAAACCUAAGGCAGUUGGAGACCAAUCAGUCUAACUAGUCACAUAUUCAUUUGUUCAUCUAACAAAUAAAUGCUGAGC
Molecule: long non-coding RNA, 1460 nt
Filed under: Canis lupus dingo (dingo)
Lineage: Eukaryota; Metazoa; Chordata; Mammalia; Carnivora; Canidae
Description: lncRNA (ENSCAFG00020002881.1)
Source: RNAcentral